AGGUAGAGCACUGUUUGGACGAGGGGCCCCUCUCGGGUUACCGAAUUCAGACAAACUCCGAAUGCCAAUUAAUUUAACUUGGGAGUCAGAACAUGGGUGAUAAGGUCCGUGUUCGAAAGGGAAACAGCCCAGACCACCAGCUAAGGUCCCAAAAUAUAUGUUAAGUGGAAAAGGAUGUGGCGUUGCCCAGACAACUAGGAUGUUGGCUUAGAAGCAGCCAUCAUUUAAAGAGUGCGUAAUAGCUCACUAGUCGAGUGACACUGCGCCGAAAAUGUACCGGGGCUAAACAUAUUACCGAAGCUGUGGAUUGUCCUUUGGACAAUGGUAGGAGAGCGUUCUAAGGGCGUUGAAGCAUGAUCGUAAGGACAUGUGGAGCGCUUAGAAGUGAGAAUGCCGGUGUGAGUAGCGAAAGACGGGUGAGAAUCCCGUCCACCGAUUGACUAAGGUUUCCAGAGGAAGGCUCGUCCGCUCUGGGUUAGUCGGGUCCUAAGCUGAGGCCGACAGGCGUAGGCGAUGGAUAACAGGUUGAUAUUCCUGUACCACCUAUAAUCGUUUUA
This 557-nucleotide ribosomal RNA is filed under the name Staphylococcus aureus. RNAcentral describes it as "partial 23S ribosomal RNA". It matches the Rfam family "Bacterial large subunit ribosomal RNA", at positions 900 to 1461 of the family's 2925-position model. Lineage: Bacteria; Bacillati; Bacillota; Bacilli; Caryophanales; Staphylococcaceae. The record is from RNAcentral.